This is a long non-coding RNA of Peromyscus maniculatus bairdii (prairie deer mouse), 576 nucleotides long. RefSeq lists it as uncharacterized. Lineage: Eukaryota; Metazoa; Chordata; Mammalia; Rodentia; Cricetidae. The record is from RefSeq and is a predicted model, not a curated record.
UUAUCCCUUUAAAGAAAAAAAGAGAAGGUUCUAUAUUACUGAGCCUAGAGCUGAUGCCAAAGUAUAUGUGCUCUGUCAAGACAUCCUGCUCCCACCAGACAGGAGCGUCUGCUGCUGCUGAGAGGCAGAGCAACACAGAAAAUUAGGCUACGGCGAAGAACUCUGAAAACUGAGUAGGAAGGUAAUCACAAGCUGAAAAUAACUGCUGCCCUUGCCCUGCCUCUGGUACACUGAGAAGGCACCAGCCCUAAUAUUUACUGUUUACCAAGCCAGUUUGGAGUAAAGACGAAAAUGUGGAACAAGUUCAUUUUUCCAAUGUAUUUAUUUGACAUCCCAACCGCAGUUUCCCCGGCCUCUUCUCCCGGUCCCCCCGACUCCUCCCCUCUGCCCCCCCAAACCGACACGUCCUCCUCCAUUAGCAGUUCAUUUUUAAAAUGCCAAAAGUUCCUGCAGCCUUGCUGUAGCUCUGGAAUAUCAUAUCUCACUGGAAAAGGGCAAAAUGGCCAGCUGCUUGCUGCGUUCCCUUCUGACUUUCAGAGCUUACAACCCAGCAUAGAAUAAAGGUAAUAAUAAAUA